GCCAUUACAAGAUGGCGCGGUGGCGCGCGCCUGUAGUCCCAGCUACUCGGGAGGCUGAAGUGGGAAGAUCGCUUGAGCCCAGGAGUUUUGGGCUGUAGUGCGCUAUGCCGAUCGGGUGUCCGCACUAAGUUCGGCAUCAAUAUGGUGACCUCCCGGGAGCGGAGGGCCACCAGGUUGCCUAAGGAGGGCCCUUCCCCAGACCUGACCCCAUAUCAGCCGACGCCUUUUUUCGUGGGGCGGGGUGUAGACGUCCAACCCGCAUGCAAUAGGACAUGCUCUCCUU
RNAcentral lists this signal recognition particle RNA (283 nucleotides) under Urocitellus parryii (Arctic ground squirrel). Its description in RNAcentral is "Metazoan signal recognition particle RNA (ENSUPAG00010016980.1)". It matches the Rfam family "Metazoan signal recognition particle RNA", at positions 1 to 250 of the family's 299-position model. From Rfam's summary of the family: The signal recognition particle (SRP) is a universally conserved ribonucleoprotein. The record is from RNAcentral. Lineage: Eukaryota; Metazoa; Chordata; Mammalia; Rodentia; Sciuridae.